RNAcentral lists this long non-coding RNA (1519 nucleotides) under Lynx pardinus (Iberian lynx). Lineage: Eukaryota; Metazoa; Chordata; Mammalia; Carnivora; Felidae. The record is from RNAcentral.
AAAAAAUCCAAAGGUUUUAUGACCUGCGUCCAGAGGUCCGGUAAGGAAUUUGAGGCCCAAACAAAUGAAUAAUGCAGGGCAGUUUUUAUACCUUCUAGACAGAGCAAAUGCAUUCGUGAGGAAUGGACAGGAUUAAAAACACACAUUUGAGAGCUUUAAUUAGUAAGGACUUUUAAGAGGAAUUUGGCCUGAGGUAGUACAUUAGUGAAAUUAACCAGGAUUGUUUCUAUAGCUUUCUUGGCUUUAAAGUUCCUAUUUCUGGUGAUAAUGAUGUGUUUUUACUUAGUCCAGUGAGGGGUUCCUUUUAUAUGGUAGUUUUAUUUCCACAUUUUGAGGGGACCGAGGAGAGUCUAAGUGUCCUUGCAUGUGCUUUUUCCCACGUAGCUUCAAUUCAAAAUAAUACACCAUCGUAUAUUUUGGACAACUUGCCCUUGGCCCUCUUGUUAGCUAGUGAAUGUAGGGUAUGAGAGAAUUAGAACACUCUCGGAUAAUCCCAAUGAUUUUAGCCACUGCAUCGAAGAUGGUAAUGCCAGUCACUAAAAUGGAUAAGAAUAUAGAAGGAACAAGUUUUGGGGAGAAUCACAGGUUCAGCUUUGGACAUGCAGAAUUUGGGAUACCUAUUACAUUUCUAAGAGGGAGGUAGGAACUAGGUUAGCUAGAUAUAUGAAUCUGCAGUUCAGGGAAGAGAUCUGGGCUGGAAACAUUAUUGGGAGUUGUCAGGGUAUAACUGCCCUGAUGCCACGAGAGUGAAAAAGCCAUGCGAGAAGAUGAGAUCUCUUAGGAAAGAGGGUUGGUAAUGAAGAGAAGCAGUUCAAGAACCGAGUCCUAGGUCAGAUAAGUAAGGAGUGUUUGCUCUGUAUUCAUGAUAUGUGGAUAGAUCACUGAUGGUUUUACACGUGUUUCUGUAAUUCUCCCUUUCUCCUGUGACUCUCAGAACAAGCAGAAGAAAAUAGUCUCAUUUUACAGAUGUGGAAAGCUGCCCUCAGUCAUAAGAGUGUGCAAUGACAGUGGAGCUCUCACUCAAAUAAUCUGUUGAAGUUAGAACCACGGGAGAUCACUUUGGGGAUCCACCAAUAGAUAAUAGGCACCCUUCUCAAAAUGGACAACUUCCCCGUAUAUUUUGCAUGCAAUUCCAGUGAGUUCUCAGGCCUCCCAAAGCCUGUUUGUGGAGGCCAACGUUCAGAGCUCUGUGUCUGAAGCUGCUUUUCUCUUCCCUUACGUUCACCAGCUCCUGAUCUGAGAAAGUGGACCCUGAGAACACACGUUUCUGAUCUGUUGAGCUGGUGUUCCCCUGUUAGUGUGGAGAUGCCGUCGAUACAAUAAUGUAGAAGAAGUUAAGUCAUCAGCCCAGAGACUUCCCUUGAACUCCACACUCAGAGACCCGGCUACCCACUUGACUUCUCUAUUUGGAAGUCCAUGAAUAUCCAUUUCCAAAUCCGACACCAUCACUGCAAGACCAGCCUCUCUCGUCAACAUCUUGAAUUUGGAAAACGGCGAGUCCAACCUUUCAGCUGGAGUU